GCAUCAUCAAAGCUUGCUUUGAUGGAUGGCGACCGGCGCACGGGUGAGUAACACGUAUCCAACCUGCCGACAACACUGGGAUAGCCUUUCGAAAGAAAGAUUAAUACCGGAUGGUAUAGUUUUCCCGCAUGGGAUGAUUAUUAAAGAAUUUCGGUUGUCGAUGGGGAUGCGUUCCAUUAGGCAGUUGGCGGGGUAACGGCCCACCAAACCUACGAUGGAUAGGGGUUCUGAGAGGAAGGUCCCCCACAUUGGAACUGAGACACGGUCCAAACUCCUACGGGAGGCAGCAGUGAGGAAUAUUGGUCAAUGGACGAGAGUCUGAACCAGCCAAGUAGCGUGAAGGAUGACUGCCCUAUGGGUUGUAAACUUCUUUUAUACGGGAAUAAAGUGAGCCACGUGUGGCUUUUUGUAUGUACCGUAUGAAUAAGGAUCGGCUAACUCCGUGCCAGCAGCCGCGGUAAUACGGAGGAUCCGAGCGUUAUCCGGAUUUAUUGGGUUUAAAGGGAGCGUAGGCGGGUUGUUAAGUCAGUUGUGAAAGUUUGCGGCUCAACCGUAAAAUUGCAGUUGAUACUGGCGACCUUGAGUGCAACAGAGGUAGGCGGAAUUCGUGGUGUAGCGGUGAAAUGCUUAGAUAUCACGAAGAACUCCGAUUGCGAA
RNAcentral lists this ribosomal RNA (657 nucleotides) under uncultured Bacteroidales bacterium. RNAcentral describes it as "bacterial SSU rRNA". It matches the Rfam family "Bacterial small subunit ribosomal RNA", at positions 69 to 719 of the family's 1533-position model. Lineage: Bacteria; Pseudomonadati; Bacteroidota; Bacteroidia; Bacteroidales. The record is from RNAcentral.